AUCGCUUCAUAUGUUGAAAUCCCUCUUAAAGUUAAGUGAGGGAUGUUCAAGUGUUUGAAGCAUAAAUGAUUAGUUGAUAUUUAACCAUGUGACGCAUUUCAAUAGUAUUUCACUACUUGUUUCUGGCUAAGUUU
Solanum pennellii is the source of this 134-nucleotide small nucleolar RNA. RefSeq annotates it as small nucleolar RNA snoR137. The record is from RefSeq and is a predicted model, not a curated record. NCBI's taxonomy places the organism in Eukaryota, Viridiplantae, Streptophyta, Magnoliopsida, Solanales, Solanaceae. The transcript has a single exon.